GUUCUCUAUUGCUAUUGAUUUGGUUUAACUUGUAGUGUUAUAGUGAUUGAUGAUACUUUGAGUUACUCUUCCAAAUCAUAGUAGUGAUUUCAUGAGGUCUUUAUAGAAUAUGAUGCAAGUUAAUUAUGAGCAUUUUAUUUUCAUAUCAUUUGUCCCUGAAGUAAUCAAUUAAUCAUUAUCUGUGAGCUAUGUCUCUUUGAGAUAUAGCACCUAAAUGAUCUCCAAAUGUAAAACUGUU
This 238-nucleotide unclassified non-coding RNA is filed under the name Hevea brasiliensis (rubber tree). The record is from RNAcentral. Lineage: Eukaryota; Viridiplantae; Streptophyta; Magnoliopsida; Malpighiales; Euphorbiaceae.